UACGUAGGUGGCAAGCGUUGUCCGGAUUUACUGGGUGUAAAGGGCGUGCAGCCGGGCUGACAAGUCAGAUGUGAAAUCCCGCGGCUCAACCGCGGAACUGCAUUUGAAACUGUCAGUCUUGAGUACCGGAGAGGUCAUCGGAAUUCCUUGUGUAGCGGUGAAAUGCGUAGAUAUAAGGAAGAACACCAGUGGCGAAGGCGGAUGACUGGACGGCAACUGACGGCGAGGCGCGAAAGCGUGGGGAGCAAACAGG
Molecule: ribosomal RNA, 253 nt
Filed under: uncultured bacterium
Lineage: Bacteria
Description: partial 16S ribosomal RNA
Rfam family: Bacterial small subunit ribosomal RNA
Source: RNAcentral